Long non-coding RNA from Marmota flaviventris (yellow-bellied marmot), 1260 nucleotides. RefSeq lists it as uncharacterized. The record is from RefSeq and is a predicted model, not a curated record. NCBI's taxonomy places the organism in Eukaryota, Metazoa, Chordata, Mammalia, Rodentia, Sciuridae.
GAGUGGGGUGGAGCGCGCCUGCGUCUCGGCCCGCGGCCCGGGGCGGCGGCCGGAGCCGGGAGCGCCCGGUCCUCUCCCCGGGUGCCAGCCUCUGGGCCCACCCAGUGCCCCUACCCCUGUGCCACGGCCGGCUGGGGUUCCUGGGGAUGGGAUUUGCUGCCAAUCACAAAUCACAUUGCCAGGGAUUUCCAACCGACCCUGAGCUCUGCCUCCGGGGCCACCGUUGCUGCUGAGGAUGUCACCGGGGACAGGGUGUCAGAUGCCCUGCCACCACCUAUGCUGGCCUGAGGAGCAGGGCUUAGCUGCUUGUGAGCAGGAUCCACACCAAGUCGUGUUCACAGUGGCUAAGUUCCGCCCCCCGGGCUCCCACCUCCUCGGGGCCUGCCGCUGCCCGCUGCCCGGCUCCCUGGGCUCCGCCCCCCGUGCCUACUGAGCUGAAACACAGUUGGUUCGUGCACACUGGCUCAGUUCAGCAGGAACAGGGGUCAAGCCCCCUCGGAGUCCGCAGCCCCUGUGCCGCUGGGUCGGCCGCCCAAAGCUGAGGCCAGCCCCAGACCCAGGUGUGUCUGGAGAAGGGACGAGGAAAGCGGGGGUGGCCGGCCGAGCUGGCUGUCCUGUCUGCUGCAGGUCUCUUCUCCCUAGUCUGCCCUUUGGGGACCCUCCCAUGGCCACUGUGGGUUGGGCUGUGGUCCCGGGUGGACAUGGAGAUAGGUGGGUGGCCCUUCCAGAAAAAGGGAAGCCAGCUGUGUCCUCUCGGGUCUGGCACCCCAGCCCCUCCUCUCCUCAGCCUGCCCCUGUCCCAUCAACGAGGCAGUUACCCAAGAGGAAGCUGCUCGGCCCCUGACCGUUAAGUGCCAACUCCCAGCUUCCGGAACCCAGCUGGCCUGGCCUGGCCUGGCCGAGUGAGCCUGCCCUGCUCCCGGGGCCUGCAGACUCCUAAUUGUGGGGAUGAACAGUGACACCUGUGCCUGCCGGGAACGAGGGACAGGGAACAAGGUCCAGGUGGGCCCAGAAAGGACACAAGCAGGCUGACCUCCUCCUCGGUGGCCUUGAAGGUGGAACUUAAAGCCUAUCCUGAAAUCGGCUGGGAUGAGGGCCCCUUGGGCUGGGACCCAGAGGCUGAGGGGAGCCCCCAGGCCAUCAGCGCUGGACCAGGUCCUCUUUCCCAGCCCAGGGGCAGGCCGAAGCCUGGGGUAGGAGGGAGAGUUUGUGUUGUGCGUUGUGCAGUUAAUUAAAUAAAGUCACUAGCCUUGUCCUGAA